Cydia pomonella (codling moth) is the source of this 4292-nucleotide long non-coding RNA. RefSeq lists it as uncharacterized. NCBI's taxonomy places the organism in Eukaryota, Metazoa, Arthropoda, Insecta, Lepidoptera, Tortricidae. The record is from RefSeq and is a predicted model, not a curated record. The transcript has 6 exons.
UAUAUUUUAUAUUAAUUUGAAUAAGAAAGACACAUUUAAUCAAUUAGUAAAUUAAAAUAAUUGAUUCAAUCACGUCACGUCACACCAUAUCAUUCUAGACUGUGUCAAAUCUUACAAAGGAAUUUUGCCCCUGGCAGCUCUAGGCUCUGUCACUUUAUUUACUUCCGUUCUUUUAGAUUCAUAUUAGUAGUUUUUUUAUACAGCAUUCAUUUUCCUUGCCUAAAAUUUGUUAUUAAAUCCCAAAAUUAUUAAUUAAAGUCAAAAAUACCAAAGAUACCUCAACUACCAGUGUCACAGUGAUUUAACACUUUAAUAAGCAGAUAAGUGACAAACAUCCAACCACCAUAUUGUAAUUCAUCAAGUUGCAUAGAGAAAGUUGACAAAUAAUAAUUACCUUUACCAUGACAGAAGUUUAAACUGAACUGGAAAAGAUCGUCUUCGAGUCAAGUGCGCUUUUUAUGAUUCUCUUAAUAUCCUACCCAUUGCAUAUCGCAAGAACUGUACAAGACAAUGAAGUAGAGUUUCAGAUUCAACCACGAUCAUAUGUUUUUUUACUUUCAUCAAGACAUCAAGAAUGUAUAAAUGUUUAGUGAAUCUAGUGCCGUAAGAUGACCUAUGACCUAAUGUUUAAACUAUCUAGAACCACGGAUGUUUAAUUAAUGUGCCUAGCUACUGACAGUGCGAGUGAAAUAAACUUAAAAUAUGGAAACUGUUCCUACAAGCAAGCAGGCUGACAACUAUUGAACGUGGUGUGGACAAGUCAUUACUGAAGAAAAAUAAAUUGAAAUUACACUGUGAGACUCCAUUUACUGAUUUUGAUGAAUCUUUCCUGAGCUUUAAGACAAACAGAGUCAACUCUGAUGGCUGCCUAUAUAUACCUAUACCUAGCGAUCUUGUGAUAUUUAUGCGGAGCGGAGCAAACUUCCAUUUGCUGUUUUCAUGGGCUUUUCCGAGUCUCUCGAUAAUCUCUAAUGCUAUUUGGGACAUUGUCCGAGCCACACAGCGAGUCUAUCAUCCACCUGACCUCAAUCUUUCUUCUGCUGACUGCUUCUAUUUAUGAAAGAUUAUGAAGAACCAGACCACUCCAGACUCCUGUUCAAUGACUUUAUUUCACGACUUUUGCUGUAACAAUAGCGCUGUCUUCUGACACUUGAAAGCUCCCGUUCGACGGCUCUAUUACAAGAAACCUGCUCCUACAUCAGCAGUGGUCUACAUUGAAUACUACUUAUAGGGAAAAUUUCACUCAAGACCUUCCUUUAUAUUAGGUAUCAAGGCGCAAGAAGGUGAAUUUAUAAUUGAUUAUUAUGUGAUGACAAUUUUUAGCUGAGGAAUAUGAAAAGAAUCCCUAACAACGGCGAGAAGAGAACGAGUAAAGAAGAUUGAUAAACCUAUCAAGUAGACAAUAACUCUAAGGAUUUUUCUAAGUAGACAAUAACUGGAAUUUUUUUUGUACAUAGUAACAGUUUCAGAAAUAAACGUUAGGUUUCAUGGCUUUUAUUCAAAACACAAUAAAAACAGAGUCCAAAAUUCAGUGUACCCACUCCGCUCUCACGGCAACAAAAUGUAGCCUGAAUGGCUACUUUUACUUUCCUUUAUUUUAGAAACCUUGGUAUCCAAAAUGUGCCCCAAAAGUGGUACACUUUAGAUCCCUCGGUCACGGCACCAAAAUGUAACUUCCCCUACCUACACCCCAAAUCUACCCCAUCUAUUCAACCCCGGACCUAAUAAAAUACUGAACCUAAUCGUUAACAAUCCCACCUUUAAAAUUACCCCUAAAAUUUACCCCAACAAUAAUUUUACCUUAACAAUAAUUUGGCCAAGUGAUCGUCUAGUUACAGGUUAGGACCCCUCGAAGCGAACCGCGGUACCCUAGAUUCUUUAAUGAGUAACAACUAAAUCUUGGACUCUGAUUCUACCUGAUUAAGUUUUACCUAGAUGUUAAGACUCGGGAAUUUACUAUACUAAAUAAUUUAUUAUGAUGAUAGGAAACAAUCGAUAGGAUAUUAUGUUAAGAUUCAACCUUCAGCAAAAUACCGUAAGACUAAGUUAUUCCAAACCCUUUUCCAUAUUAAAUAUGACACCUUAUAAGUAGAAUGAAAAUAUAUAACAAUUGACAAGGUAUGAGCAGUGUCGUGGUAAAGGAUAUAGGCUCCGCCCACACGCGCAAGGUCGUAGACGACGGGAGUAGCCUUAAGUUACAGAAAUUAUCAAUGAUUUUUGAUGUAAUGUAAAAUAUAUUUUUAUUAAUUUAUUAGAAAGAUAUUUAGGUAUUGCAGCAUAUAUGAUUAUAUAAAUAUAAAAAUAUUUUUGGUAAAAUCCUGCUACUCCUAUUAAGUCUUCGGGGUAACAUUGAAGCAGCACUCCCGGGAUAAGCCCAUUUACACACUAAUAUUAAGAUUAAAAUAUUAUUACCUAUCAAUCCUAUCAUCUUCUAAACGAGGUGUGAACGGAUCACGCGUGCUGCCUCUAAUGCUAGAUGCAGGUCUGAAGACUCUUACUCCGAUUAGCAAUAUCAAUCGGGCCACCUACUAUCUUAUUAGCCAGACGGGCUAUGACCAACGCUUCGCAACCCUAUACAAACCUAGGGGCUGACGAAGAGAAGCGAUAAGUAUUCGUCAGACACCAAUUACUUAUCUUUUAUAUCCAAAAGCUAAGGCUACUAAGCCAUUACCCAGUCCCCAUAGCUAAAAGUAGGCUGAAUUUCUAGGCCUUUCAAAUGUAUAAACGAAGUACAAGUUUAACUCAUUACUGUACUUUAUGAGAUCGAACUAUCAAGGUGAGUAUUAUUCCACUCAAAGAUUCCAAUGGACUGCGCUCGCCUGCCAAAGGGUCUCUAAAACAAACCAUUCUUUUAUCCCAGAAUAGUCUGUGUUCCUAAACCCAACUUGAUAUGUAAGGAUUGAAUAUAUAAAUACCUUAGGACCUGAUCGAAUACUCAGUACUUCGUCUCUACACCAAAAACCCAGAAAUGAAAAUAAAUAGAUAUAAGAUGUUACAGAUAACCCUCAACUUUCCACUCAGAGUAACAGUCUGGAAGAUUUAGGUAAUUAAAACCCAUUACCGGUAUUUCACUAAUAUUAUCAUUAAUACACGUUAUAAAACAUAGCUUCACGUCAUUAGAACCUUUUGAAAGAUAUAUAUAUAUACACCAACCAAUCGAAUUUCUAGAUCAAACCUAAGAGAGAGACCCUAUAACAGUGUGUGUGACUCUACCCUAUUCCUACCCUUAGACCCUAAUCUAGUAUGUCCAGAACACAGAUCGUACUUACCAUUGAUCUAGUGAUUUGGAACAUACACAAGUGUAUCCCUAAGUCUAAGCUGUAAGCAUUCGGCCGACAAAACCGAGGUAUAGCAAACCCUAGUGUCUGUGUGAUUGGCCCCCUCCUCAUCGCCACGUAGGCACGGUGGAUGAGAAUAGACCGCCCUAGCAUGUCUAUAGGUAAUCAGCACACUAGCACACACACCCGUACCAGUCACAUGGGAUACCCCGCCAUGACUAAAACUUUAUCUGUGUUUGUUACCAAUCAUGACAGAAGCUCUCCCGUGACCAGCACUAGCAUGAGCCAGAGCACCGAAAUAUAUAUAAAUAUAUUUAAUACGAGACCUAGCCUCAAUUACUGCAGACUUCAGUGAGCCGAGAUUACUCUCAAUGGCACGCACGUGAUGCCCUCACAUUCAUCUAACAGCUGGACUUUGAGACUAAGGAGAGUAUGCUCGCCUCUUAUGUUGGUAAAGAAGAGACGCCAAGUCCUCUCAACUUGGAGCAAAAGACUUCUAAACAGCUGCAGUUUGUCACCGUUAGGGAGCAGCUGAUUAGAUGGACAAACUGUUAGUCCAAACAGUGAUCUGGCUUUAUAAAAUAACAAACUAACCUCAUAGAAAGGUAAUAAAAUAACAAAAUUAGAUUUUACUAACAAAAACUCACAAUAUAGUAACACAGAUAAGGAAGUAAAGAAUCUCCACCAUAGCCUAAGCUUAGCUUUACGACAACAUUGUCCCCGCAAUGCCAAACAUAGACACAAUUUACAAGUUUAAAUUUACCAGGAUAAUUCCCAGCAAACACAAACAAAUAGAAGGAAUAGUAGAGAAACUUUACUUACUCAAAGCCAGAGAUACCGCCAGUCCGAUGGUUAAAGAAUGAAUGCCCAUCCUCCGUACUUUACGGCCCUUUUAUAUACUUUAUUAGCGACAUAACAGCGACAUAACGGCGACUAGCGACAUAACAGCGACAUAUUGGCGACUAGCGACAUAAUAGCGACAUAUUGGCGACAUAACGGCGACAUAACAGCGAC